Long non-coding RNA from Xenopus laevis (African clawed frog), 1098 nucleotides. RefSeq lists it as uncharacterized. The transcript has 3 exons. NCBI's taxonomy places the organism in Eukaryota, Metazoa, Chordata, Amphibia, Anura, Pipidae. The record is from RefSeq and is a predicted model, not a curated record.
UGACUCCAAAAUGGCAAUCGGACUAGUCCCUGGAUCAACUUGUACUAUGAGCUAUCUCCCAUAACCCUGUAUUAUUCCCAUGCCUGUUUUAUACCUAUUUGUAUUAAUAAAUCUUAUUAAAUUAUAUUAACUCAACUAGAUAUACUAGCUAUACCCUUAUUCCCCUACUAUGUUUCUAUCUCUAUAAUUACUAAUAUUUAUAUAAUUAUAUUAUCUCUAUCUUUUUGUAUAUUUCUAUUUGUUCUCAUAAAUGUUAUAUAAUAAUAUUACCCAUGUCCUUAUCCCCUAUUCCCCUUCUAUUUUUAUUAAAUCUUAUCACCUUUACCCCUUCCCUUAUUACUUUCCCUGUAUUUAUACUAGUUAAUCUUAUUUAAAAUAUUUGCCUUUUCCCCCCCUUUUUUAAUGUAUUACUUAUAUCCUUAUUUCUUAUUCCCAUGCCUAUGUUUUUUCACAAAUGAAUUAUAACUUUUAAUAACUUAUAACUUUUUAUCUUAUUUAUACAACUAAUCCUAUGCCUAUCUCUAUUUAUUUUCCUAUUUAAAACAAUCUUUUUUCCUCGAUGCAGGACUGAUGGACGACAUCAAGCGGUGCUGGAGCAGGUGAUGAUGAGGAUGCUAUGAUCUAGGUGCAUCAGGUGGAUCAGAUGCAUGGAUGAGCCUCCGAGAUACCAAGUCUGCUCACUCCUUCUGCCAAGAGCAACCUAAGUAAGAAAGUUCCACCCAAUUGAUGGAAGAAUAGAAUGGGUGGUAUCGUAUGUCUCCAUACACUCCCAGACGCCGAAGAUGUUGCAGAUCUAUACUGAGCCAAUCUGGUAUCUCAGGCUCAUCGCAGAUGGUGGACGUGAUGACCUUCUCUCUGUCAUGGCCAUCAAAGAAUGGGGACCUUCCUGUGGCCAUUUCACAUGUGAUGAUCCCGAAGGACCACCAGUCCACUGCUGAAUCAUACCCCUCUUCUUGAAAGAUCUUGAGUAGAGAUAGAUAGAUUCAUCUAGUUAAUUGUAUAAUUUCAUUUUGACUAUGGCUAGAAUGUUGCACUAAUUUGGCGUAUCUGUUUUGUGAGAUACAAGUGCAAUAUCUAAAUAGAAAGGGUUAUAUUUAG